RNAcentral lists this ribosomal RNA (701 nucleotides) under Vreelandella subterranea. RNAcentral describes it as "bacterial SSU rRNA". It matches the Rfam family "Bacterial small subunit ribosomal RNA", at positions 68 to 766 of the family's 1533-position model. The record is from RNAcentral. Lineage: Bacteria; Pseudomonadati; Pseudomonadota; Gammaproteobacteria; Oceanospirillales; Halomonadaceae.
GGAACAGAUCCAGCGUUGCUGGAUGCUGACGAGCGGCGGACGGGUGAGUAAUGCAUAGGAAUCUACCCGGUAGUGGGGGAUAACCUGGGGAAACCCAGGCUAAUACCGCAUACGUCCUACGGGAGAAAGGGGGCUUUGGCUCCCGCUAUCGGAUGAGCCUAUGCCGGAUUAGCUGGUUGGUGAGGUAAUGGCUCACCAAGGCGACGAUCCGUAGCUGGUCUGAGAGGAUGAUCAGCCACAUCGGGACUGAGACACGGCCCGAACUCCUACGGGAGGCAGCAGUGGGGAAUAUUGGACAAUGGGGGCAACCCUGAUCCAGCCAUGCCGCGUGUGUGAAGAAGGCCCUCGGGUUGUAAAGCACUUUCAGCGAGGAAGAACGCCUAUCGGUUAAUACCCGGUAGGAAAGACAUCACUCGCAGAAGAAGCACCGGCUAACUCCGUGCCAGCAGCCGCGGUAAUACGGAGGGUGCAAGCGUUAAUCGGAAUUACUGGGCGUAAAGCGCGCGUAGGUGGCUUGAUAAGCCGGUUGUGAAAGCCCCGGGCUCAACCUGGGAACGGCAUCCGGAACUAUCAGGCUAGAGUGCAGGAGAGGAAGGUAGAAUUCCCGGUGUAGCGGUGAAAUGCGUAGAGAUCGGGAGGAAUACCAGUGGCGAAGGCGGCCUUCUGGACUGACACUGACACUGAGGUGCGAAAGCGUGGGU